Molecule: ribosomal RNA, 801 nt
Filed under: uncultured bacterium
Lineage: Bacteria
Description: bacterial SSU rRNA
Rfam family: Bacterial small subunit ribosomal RNA
Source: RNAcentral
CAUGCAGUCGAGCGAGAAGGUGUAGCAAUACACUUGUAAAGCGGCGAACGGGUGAGGAAUGCAUGGGUAACCUACCCUCGAGUGGGGAAUAACUAGCCGAAAGGUUAGCUAAUACCGCAUACGUUUCCGGAACUUCGGUUACGGAAAGAAAGCAAUACCGUGGGUAUUGCGCUCAUGGAUGGGCUCAUGUCCUAUCAGCUUGUUGGUGAGGUAACGGCUCACCAAGGCUUCGACGGGUAGCUGGUCUGAGAGGACGAUCAGCCACACUGGCACUGCGACACGGGCCAGACUCCUACGGGAGGCAGCAGUAAGGAAUAUUGCGCAAUGGACGAAAGUCUGACGCAGCGACGCCGCGUGGGGGAUGAAGGUCUUCGGAUUGUAAACCCCUUUCGGGAGGGAAGAUGGAGUGGGUAACCACUUGGACGGUACCUCCAGAAGCAGCCACGGCUAACUUCGUGCCAGCAGCCGCGGUAAUACGAAGGUGGCAAGCGUUGUUCGGAUUCACUGGGCGUACAGGGAGCGUAGGCGGUUGAGUAAGCCCUCCGUGAAAUCUCCGGGCCUAACCCGGAAAGUGCAGGGGGUACUGCUCAGCUAGAGGAUGGGAGAGGAGCGCGGAAUUCCCGGUGUAGCGGUGAAAUGCGUAGAGAUCGGGAGGAAGGCCGGUGGCGAACGCGGCGCUCUGGAACAUUUCUGACGCUGACGCUCGAAAGCGUGGGGAGCAAACAGGAUUAGAUACCCUGGUAGUCCACGCCUUAAACUAUGGAUACUAAGUGUCGGCGGUUUACCGCCCGGUGCCGCAGC